CACUCCUACGGGAGGCAGCAGUGGGGAAUAUUGGACAAUGGGCGCAAGCCUGAUCCAGCCAUGCCGCGUGAGUGAUGAAGGCCCUCGGGUUGUAAAGCUCUUUCACCGGUGAAGAUAAUGACGGUAACCGGAGAAGAAGCCCCGGCUAACUUCGUGCCAGCAGCCGCGGUAAUACGAAGGGGGCUAGCGUUGUUCGGAUUUACUGGGCGUAAAGCGCACGUAGGCGGACUAUUAAGUCAGGGGUGAAAUCCCGGGGCUCAACCCCGGAACUGCCUUUGAUACUGGUAGUCUUGAGUUCGAGAGAGGUGAGUGGAAUUCCGGGUGUAGAGGUGAAAUUCGUAGAUAUUCGGAGGAACACCAGUGGCGAAGGCGGCUCACUGGCUCGAUACUGACGCUGAGGUGCGAAAGCGUGGGGAGCAAACAGGAUUAGAAACCCGAGUAGUCCCAU
RNAcentral lists this ribosomal RNA (448 nucleotides) under uncultured organism. RNAcentral describes it as "partial 16S ribosomal RNA". It matches the Rfam family "Bacterial small subunit ribosomal RNA", at positions 334 to 798 of the family's 1533-position model. The record is from RNAcentral.